UUGCCCAGCUCAAACGUCAGCUCUAACCUUUCCUUUCCUGUAUGAUGGGCCGGUUAGUCAAUGACGGGUUCUGAGUGAUGGGAUAUUUACCAACCUCAGACACGGAAAUCCCCCUAUAAGUGGAAUUCUCCCAUGACAGAAUGAGGAUGCUGCCUGAUGGCUGCCAGAGAGACUGGUGCAACAAGUGGAUUACAUCAAGGAACAAGAUCAUUCCCCAAGUGAUGAUAUUGCUGAUCCUGUUGCAGCUGAUUCAUCCAGUUAAGACUGAGUUAAACCUUUGGGCUUUAGUGCCCAACCCCUCCUGUUGUUCUCCCUGUGCAUGUUAGUGCACGUUUGUUUCCUGUCUUAUAUUCUAACAAUGAUAGCUUAGGUUUACCUUUUUCUUCUGUAGAUACUUCUACAGAUAUUUCUGGGUUUUAUAAUUUUACUGAUUCAGUUUGUUUUAAGCUUGCUGGUUCAUUUAUUAGAUGUUCUUACAUUAAGCUUUAUCUCCCUUGUGUUCAACUUUACUAUGGAAGACAUGCCGAUACUUAUUGGCUAUAGCCAGAUUUUGGAUAUGAAUUAAUAUUUGCUGACCUUUGAGUUGUUGUUGGCUAGUCUAAUUUAACUGUUCAUCCUGCUUUAGUAGAGUUGUCUAGUUGCUCUGAAGGAAGUAUUUAUUCUACCUCUGUAGGUCUUCCUUGACCCUGGGUUUAUUGUUUAUCUCCUCAUCAGCCCUUGCAGGCAUUAAAUAAACCAGGAUUAUGAGUCAGACAGCACACUGACCCUGUGGCUGAUGCUAACGGCAUACCUAUGAAGUAUCCAUGGAUGAUGGCCCAUAUUACUUAUGUGGAAAGUUGAGUUGUAUGGAUAUUAGAUCUCUCUGCUCUUUGAAUAUGACCAUUGUAGAAAAUGGUAUUAUGUGUUUUAAUGCUAUUACAGGCAACCUUUAUCAGCAACUCCAAAAGUUAGUCCUACUCUUUCUCCUGCUAAGUUUUGUUUAAAACCACCUUUUUUUCUUUUUACUAGUUAAAAGUCCAUUGUUAUCUGCAGAAAUUAAUUGUUCUAUAGCCUCUUGUAGAAUUUUCUCCUGUUGGAAUAUUAACUUUCCCUUUUGCAGGAGUUGUUAGAACACCUGCUAGCUUGUGGGUACCAGUUGUUUCCCCAGGUCAUUGUCACAAAGUUGGACUUAUGACUGUUACUAGAUUUAAAACAUAUUUUGGCAUUACUAUGGAUGUUACAGCAGCUAUUCUAUCUGCCCUUGCAGGAGGAGUUAUGGCUGCAGUGGCUCUUCUCAGAAUACCAUUACUGCUGCAGCAUUAAAUCAGUUAGUUAAUACCACAGCUACUGCUUAUCAAACUCAAUUGCUUCUUAAUAAUCAUUUUCAUUAGGCCAUUUUGGUUUUGCAGCAACAAAUAGAUUUUUUUGUCUAAAUAAACUGACGUAGCCAAAAGCAUGUCUAAAUAUUCCUGUGAUCCUCUUUAUGGUAAGUUCUGUCUCACCCCUUUUCCUGUUACUAACAUGUCUUUACGCUUAUUAAGGGCCAAUGGGAUUCAAAGUAUGUGCAAUUAUCUGCUCAACUUGCUAAUGAUCUUACUAAGUUACAGGAAAUUGUUGUGGAGCCACUGGAUAUAGACUCUUCCUUUCUGACACGCAUCUGGGAACAUCUAAAGAAGCUUCUUGAUCCAUCCUGGAUUUUCAUUUAUGCAUGUUUGUCUGGUUUGGUACUAUUCAUCUUUAUAAUUGCCAGAUGUGUCCACUCAGCUUGACAGCAGCAGCUUAGAUUUAAUGAUACCACGCACAAAGUCCUUUUGGCUAUUGAACAGCGGCAUGCUGUAACUCCCUCACCCCAGGUAGGGGUUUGGCUUGCCCAGCUCAAACAUCAGCUUUAACCUCUCCUUUCCUGUGCAUGUGCUGGUUAGUCAAUGACAGGUAACAGAUGAUUGAUAAGUACUCACGAAAGAUGGGAAGUCCUCCUGUAAGUGGGAUUCUUCCAUGAUAGGUACAGUAUUUAUUUGGAAUUGCGCCACCUAAGACAGGCACGGUCCUUUUGUUUUAAUUUGAAAGGGAGGAAUUAUGGCAGCCAGAGUAGAUUUGAUUAGCCAAAAUGGAGUGCGUAUUUGCUGUUUGGUGCUGAGUUUGAGUAGUGGUCUCUGGUAAAUAAAGUUUUGCCUUCUGACUUUGGCAGUCAGUCAGCUUCUGAAAGACCGACCUUGGCAAGCUUUGCUUUAGGAAGCUCUGUUCCUGGGAACAAGAUAGGCAAGCUCCACACAACCCUGGAGCCAGAUGGUGGGUUCUGUGCAACCUUGAGUGAAUCCUCGUAUGAUCUGCCAGCUGAUGCAGAUGGACGUUACUGUGAGAAAGUUCCUCGUUCUCUCCUGCUUUUAUAUAGCUGGCUCUCCCUUCAAUAAAUUGGCACCUUGAUCAAAGACUUGGUGUCCCUCUUCGUGUUGCCUUGUUCUCUCUCUCCCAACCCUCUCUCAGGAGGUAUCUAAGCUGCAGGCAGCGACAUUUGAUGUUAACCAUUCUGACUGUCAUAAGAUGGAAUCUCAGAGCCGUUUUGAUUUACAUUUUCCUGAUGGCUAAGGAUGUUGAACAUUUCUUUAAAUGCUUCUUAGGUAUUAGAGAUUCCUGUUAAGAAAGUUUCUGUUUAUCUCUGUAUCCCAUUUUAAUUGGAUUAUUUGGCUUGUUGGGGUUUAAUUUUUCAUGUUCUUUAUACUUUUGGGUAUUAGUCUUCUCUUUCAGAGCAUUGGUAAAGAUCUUUUUUCCUAUCUGUAGGCUGCCCUUUUUUCUACUGAUGGUGUCCUUUGCCUUCCAGAAGCUUUUCAGCUUUGUGAGGUCCCAUUUAUUAAUUGUUGGUUUCAAAGCCUGAGCUGUUGGUGUUCUGUUCAGGAAGUUGUCUCCUCUGACAAUGAGUUCAAGGCACCUCCCCCCUUUUCUUCUAAUAUAUUUAGUGUGUCUGGUUUUAUGUUUAGGUUUUUAAUCCACUUGGAAUUGAGUUUUGUGCAGGGUGGUAAAUAUGAUCUAUUUUUCUACAUGUAGACAUCCAGUUAUACCCAGCAUCAUUUGUUGAAGGUACUUUCUUUUUUAUUUUUCCAUUGUAUCGUUUUGGCUUCUUUGUCAAAAAGCAAGUGUCUGUAGGUGUGUAGGUUUAUUUCUGAGUCUUGGUUUCAAUUCCAUUGAGCAAUGUGUCUGUUUUUAUGCCAAUAUCACAUGGAGUUUAUUACUAUUGCUUUGUAAUACAACUUGAAAUCAGGCAUAUUGGUACUUCCAGAAGUUCUUUUAUUGUAUAGGAUUGUUUUGACUAUUCUGUAUAGGCUUUGAUUUUUUUAAACUUAUUUUAUUUGGGGUUCCUUAAGCCUCUACAUAUCUAACAAGCUGCCAACCCUAUGAAAGUGACAAAGAAGGUCUACAAGAGAUGUUGACCUCUUCUGACAAAGGUCCUUGGGACAAUUUCACUCUUCAUUGUCAGAAUAUCCAGCAGUUCAGCACUCCACAAUCCAGCAGUUCAGCAAAUCAGCAUUCCAGCUAUCCAGCAAUCCAGAAAACCAGAAAGCCAGCCAUCUAGCAAUCCAAAAGCAACAACAAGGAGCAGCAGUAGUGGCACGGGCAGCAGCAAUCUCCUUGAAGUGUUCUCAAAAGCAUUUCUUUCUGGGAACAUGGCACAUCUCAAAGUGAUCUCUCUGUCUCUGUCUCUGUCUCUGUCUCUCUCUGUGUGCACGAGCUCCUCUUUUUUUUCCUUAGGAGGGACCACUUGCUAUUUGACCCAUUGACAACUGACUGAUGCAAGUCAUUACUUCUUCACUAAAAACUCAUGUAGAAUGGAUAGUUUUUGGUCAACUUAACAUGUGCGAUGGUCAUCUGGAAAGAGGGAAACUCAAUUUUGAAAAUGCUUCUAACUGACCAGCAUAUAGUCAUGUCAUGGAUAUUUUCUUGAUUAGUGAUUGGUGUGGGAGGACCUAGCCCAGUGCUGUUAGAGGUGCCAGCUCUGGGCAGUUACUAUUGGUUUGUAUAGCAAAGCUGGAUAAGCAAUCCAUGAGGAACAAGUUAGGUAGAUGUGAUCUUCCAUGGCCUCUUCAGUUUUAAGCAGCCAUCUGUCCUUUUCCCUAGAGAGGCAACUAUUUUUACUCUGUACUUGUGCAAUGUCUUCUGCCUGUUAAAUAGAUCACACUAGAAACAUAUGUUCAGCUUAUAUAAAAGUUUUUUAGCUCCAAAGAAUACAUCAUCUGGAGCAAGCAUGAAAAGGGCAGCCUUGGACAUAGACAAUCUUCUGAAAAUGCUUCUUUCUCAAUAUAAGCUAUGGAAUGUUCCUGGUCAAUCAUACUCCUUCAGCAAAAAACUAGAGACUGGGUAGCACUAAUAUAGGUUCUUUGGUUUUUUGUUUGUUACCCUUGAACUCUUUCUUUCUUUCUUUCUUUCUUUCUUUCUUUCUUUCUUUCUUUCUUUCUUUCAUUCUUGCCUCCUGAUUCCUGCCGUAACUUCCCUCAGUGAUGAAAUAAACCAUUUCUUCUCUCAGUUG
This is a long non-coding RNA of Psammomys obesus (fat sand rat), 4498 nucleotides long. RefSeq lists it as uncharacterized. The record is from RefSeq and is a predicted model, not a curated record. The transcript has 2 exons. Lineage: Eukaryota; Metazoa; Chordata; Mammalia; Rodentia; Muridae.